Molecule: ribosomal RNA, 115 nt
Filed under: Staphylococcus shinii
Lineage: Bacteria; Bacillati; Bacillota; Bacilli; Caryophanales; Staphylococcaceae
Description: partial 16S ribosomal RNA
Rfam family: Bacterial small subunit ribosomal RNA
Source: RNAcentral
UUUAUGGAGAGUUUGAUCCUGGCUCAGGAUGAACGCUGGCGGCGUGCCUAAUACAUGCAAGUCGAGCGAACAGAUAAGGAGCUUGCUCCUUUGACGUUAGCGGCGGACGGGUGAG